ACGAACGCUGGCGGCGUGCUUAACACAUGCAAGUCGAACGGAAAGGCCCUGCUUUUGUGGGGUGCUCGAGUGGCGAACGGGUGAGUAACACGUGAGUAACCUGCCCUUGACUUUGGGAUAACUUCAGGAGACUGGGGCUAAUACCGGAUAGGAGCUCCUGCUGCAUGGUGGGGGUUGGAAAGUUUCGGCGGUUGGGGAUGGACUCGCGGCUUAUCAGCUUGUUGGUGGGGUAGUGGCUUACCAAGGCUUUGACGGGUAGCCGGCCUGAGAGGGUGACCGGCCACAUUGGGACUGAGAUACGGCCCAGACUCCUACGGAAGGCAGCAGUGGGGAAUAUUGCACAAUGGGCGGAAGCCUGAUGCAGCAACGCCGCGUGCGGGAUGACGGCCUUCGGGUUGUAAACCGCUUUCGCCUGUGACGAAGCGUGAGUGACGGUAAUGGGUAAAGAAGCACCGGCUAACUACGUG
This 467-nucleotide ribosomal RNA is filed under the name uncultured bacterium. RNAcentral describes it as "partial 16S ribosomal RNA". It matches the Rfam family "Bacterial small subunit ribosomal RNA", at positions 29 to 507 of the family's 1533-position model. The record is from RNAcentral.